RNAcentral lists this ribosomal RNA (480 nucleotides) under uncultured bacterium. RNAcentral describes it as "bacterial SSU rRNA". It matches the Rfam family "Bacterial small subunit ribosomal RNA", at positions 30 to 508 of the family's 1533-position model. The record is from RNAcentral.
AUUGAACGCUGGCGGAAUGCUUUACACAUGCAAGUCGAACGGCAGCACGGGGCAACCUGGUGGCGAGUGGCGAACGGGUGAGUAAUACAUCGGAACGUGCCCAAUCGUGGGGGGAUAACGUAGCGAAAGUUACGCUAAUACCGCAUACGAUCUACGGAUGAAAGCGGGGGAUCGCAAGACCUCGCGCGAAUGGAGCGGCCGAUGUCAGAUUAGGUAGUUGGUGGGGUAAAGGCUCACCAAGCCAACGAUCUGUAGCUGGUCUGAGAGGACGACCAGCCACACUGGAACUGAGACACGGUCCAGACUCCUACGGGAGGCAGCAGCGGGGAAUUUUGGACAAUGGGCGCAAGCCUGAUCCAGCCAUUCCGCGUGCAGGAUGAAGGCCUCGGUUGUAACUGCUUUUGUACGGAACGAAACGGACGAGCUCUAUACAGUUGUCUAAUGACGGUACCGUAAGAAUAAGCACGGCUAACUACGUAG